RNAcentral lists this long non-coding RNA (243 nucleotides) under Rattus norvegicus (Norway rat). Its description in RNAcentral is "long non-coding RNA NONRATT031454". The record is from RNAcentral. Lineage: Eukaryota; Metazoa; Chordata; Mammalia; Rodentia; Muridae.
CAACAGGGAUGCUGCCCCAGCUAGCAGGACUGUAUCCUUUUUCUGGGCAGGUUCACCUUGACCUUUGAAGUGCUGGGGCCAGGUCAGGGAAGGGAUCACCCUGACCAGAGGUGGAAACCUUAGGUGAAAAUGAGGAGUCACAAGCCCAGAGAUCCAGGAAGGACAGGCCUUCAGCUUGUUUCCCUAUCUCUUUGGUGGAUCCUUCCCAUUAGAGGAGAACCCGGAAUGAGGACGCAUCUGAGG